GACGAACGCUGGCGGCGUGCCUAAUACAUGCAAGUCGAACGCAGUGGGGACGGGUGAGUAACACGUGGGUAACCUCGCAUCAGAGGGGAUAACCCUUGGAAACAAGUGCUAAACCGAUACUGAUUGAUCGACCCGCGGUGCAUUAGCUAGUUGGUGACGUAACGGCUCACCAAGUCCACGAUGCAUAGCCGAGCUGAGAGUGUGAUCGGCCACACUGGGACUGAGACACGGCCCAGAAUCCUACGGGAGGCAGCAGUGGGGAAUAUUGCACAAUGGGCGCAAGCCUGAUGCAGCCAUGCCGCGUGUAUGAAGAAGGCCUUAGGGUUGUAAAGUACUUUCAGCGGGGAGGCGUUACCAGCAGAAGAAGCACCGGCUAACUCCGUGCCAGCAGCCGCGGUAAUUC
Molecule: ribosomal RNA, 403 nt
Filed under: uncultured bacterium
Lineage: Bacteria
Description: partial 16S ribosomal RNA
Rfam family: Bacterial small subunit ribosomal RNA
Source: RNAcentral